GCUGGAGUUGGACAACCUGGUCGUCCACUGGUCUUGAGAACCAGCACCCGCAAGGGUAUGUGGGUUCAAAUCCCACCUCCAGCG
This 84-nucleotide transfer RNA is filed under the name Candidatus Aenigmatarchaeota archaeon. RNAcentral's name for it is "tRNA-Ser". It matches the Rfam family "tRNA". Rfam says of the family: Transfer RNA (tRNA) molecules are approximately 80 nucleotides in length. The record is from RNAcentral. Lineage: Archaea; Nanobdellati; Candidatus Aenigmatarchaeota.